RNAcentral lists this transfer RNA (64 nucleotides) under Pharyngocirrus uchidai. Its description in RNAcentral is "tRNA-Asp". The record is from RNAcentral. Lineage: Eukaryota; Metazoa; Annelida; Polychaeta; Saccocirridae.
GGCAAAAUAGUUAAAUGAUAAUAUAAACUUGUCAAGUUUAAGUUGCUGCCAGCAGUUUUUGCCU